This is a long non-coding RNA of Erinaceus europaeus (western European hedgehog), 324 nucleotides long. RefSeq lists it as uncharacterized. The transcript has 2 exons. The record is from RefSeq and is a predicted model, not a curated record. NCBI's taxonomy places the organism in Eukaryota, Metazoa, Chordata, Mammalia, Eulipotyphla, Erinaceidae.
AACUAGAGACCCCAAGCUGUUAGGGGACUUAUCAAAGGUCGGACAGUGAGUGACACUGAUUCUGUGACACCCGGUGUGCUGACUCAAACAGAAGCCAUUUUAUCACUAGUCCAUACCACUAUUCUGAGAGAGUACCGGAUUGACCACACCAUUACAAUGCAAGAGGGCCAUGGUUCAAGCCCCUCUUCUCCACCUGCAGGGAGGAAGCUUUCCUAGUGGAGAAGCAGCACUAUGGGUGUCUUUUCCCUUCCUCUCUACCUCCCCUUCCCUCUCAAUUGCUCUCUGUCCUAUGGAAUAAAUUAACAAUUCAACGGAAAUUCAAAA